AUGGGCGAAAGCCUGAUGCAGCCAUGCCGCGUGAAUGAUGAAGGCCUUAGGGUUGUAAAAUUCUUUCGCCAGGGAUGAUAAUGACAGUACCUGGUAAAGAAGCCCCGGCUAACUUCGUGCCAGCAGCCGCGGUAAUACGAAGGGGGCUAGCGUUGUUCGGAAUUACUGGGCGUAAAGCGCACGUAGGCGGACUUUUAAGUCAGAUGUGAAAUCCCGGGGCUCAACCUCGGAACUGCAUUUGAAACUGGAAGUCUAGAGACCAGGAGAGGUUAGCGGAAUACCGAGUGUAGAGGUGAAAUUCGUAGAUAUUCGGUGGAACACCAGUGGCGAAGGCGGCUAACUGGACUGGUACUGACGCUGAGGUGCGAAAGUGUGGGGAGCAAACAGGAUUAGAUACCCUGGUAGUCCACACCGUAAACGAUGAGAGCUAGUUGUUGGCAGGCAUGCCUGUCGGUGACGCAGCUAACGCAUUAAGCUCUCCGCCUGGGGAGUACGGUCGCAAGAUUAAAACUCAAAG
Molecule: ribosomal RNA, 517 nt
Filed under: uncultured Hyphomonas sp.
Lineage: Bacteria; Pseudomonadati; Pseudomonadota; Alphaproteobacteria; Hyphomonadales; Hyphomonadaceae
Description: bacterial SSU rRNA
Rfam family: Bacterial small subunit ribosomal RNA
Source: RNAcentral